RNAcentral lists this ribosomal RNA (515 nucleotides) under uncultured bacterium. RNAcentral describes it as "bacterial SSU rRNA". It matches the Rfam family "Bacterial small subunit ribosomal RNA", at positions 9 to 517 of the family's 1533-position model. The record is from RNAcentral.
GAGUUUGAUCAUGGCUCAGAUUGAACGCUGGCGGCAGGCCUAACACAUGCAAGUCGAGCGGUAGAGAGAAGCUUGCUUCUCUUGAGAGCGGCGGACGGGUGAGUAAUGCCUAGGAAUCUGCCUGGUAGUGGGGGAUAACGCUCGGAAACGGACGCUAAUACCGCGUACGUCCUACGGGAGAAAGCAGGGGACCUUCGGGCCUUGCGCUAUCAGAUGAGCCUAGGUCGGAUUAGCUAGUUGGUGAGGUAAUGGCUCACCAAGGCGACGAUCCGUAACUGGUCUGAGAGGAUGAUCAGUCACACUGGAACUGAGACACGGUCCAGACUCCUACGGGAGGCAGCAGUGGGGAAUAUUGGACAAUGGGCGAAAGCCUGAUCCAGCCAUGCCGCGUGUGUGAAGAAGGUCUUCGGAUUGUAAAGCACUUUAAGUUGGGUAGGAAGGGCAGUAAAUUAAUACUUUGCUUGUUUGACGUUACCGACAGAAUAAGCACCGGCUAACUCUCGUGCCAGCCGCCG